This 486-nucleotide long non-coding RNA is filed under the name Nicotiana benthamiana. RNAcentral describes it as "long non-coding RNA (NBEN_LNC019909)". The record is from RNAcentral. Lineage: Eukaryota; Viridiplantae; Streptophyta; Magnoliopsida; Solanales; Solanaceae.
GCCAAUAUAAAAUGUCAUUUCCCAAAAUGAAUGAUGUUUGCAGGAUGAAGUGAGCAGCAAAAUGUUUGAAGGACACAAAGUUGCAGAAAUCAUAGCUUCAUUGCACUCAGCAGUGGAGUUAGAGUUUGAACUAUAAUCUGAAGCAAUUUUUAGGCCACCUUUGCAACUCUACUAGCAUCUUCCCUUUUGUCAAGAGAAUUAUUUUACUCUAUUUGCGCAAUAUAAGUUUUUAAUGACCGCCUUUCAAUUUACGCCUCUUGCUUCUACCUAACUUAGGUGAUAGAAUGGAUUCCAGUUCCAUCUCCUAUUGAGACAAUAGCAAUGACCACGCCGAUGCCGAGGUGACUGCUGGUACUAUUUUAUGAAGAUUCCUCAACGGAUUAAUUAAUCGAUUUUUAUUUCUUCUGUGGCAAGAUGUUUUCCAGCACAUAGAACAUAAAAAAAGCAAAGCUUAUUUGACAUAAGAUCUUUGCAAAUUAUUUCAAU